Non-coding RNA from Sus scrofa (pig), 2140 nucleotides. NCBI's taxonomy places the organism in Eukaryota, Metazoa, Chordata, Mammalia, Artiodactyla, Suidae. The record is from RefSeq and is a predicted model, not a curated record.
AACUCCAAGAAAUGUUUAAAGCUAACGUAUAAACUCCUGGCACAUAAUCUUCCUUGAUUUCCAGAUCAUUUGAGGCAUUACUAAACAUGUCUGGGGUUUCCAUGAAGACAUGGUUUUGCUUUUUUUUUUUCUUCUCCUCUUGCCCUCCUCUCAACUUGCAGAGAACUGUACAUUUUAAUAUUUUGUUCUUCCCCACCCUCCCCCCAGAUAUUCCUUAGUGAAAAUAUGCACAUCAGUGCACAAACAUCACAUGGAUUGAUUAUUAAAGAUUAUAAAGGUUAAAAGUUAUUCCUUAGCUCAGUAGACAAGAUAUUCAUUCACCUUCUCGUAGCUCUAAAACAAGACUCCUGAUCUGUCACUUUCAUAAGUCAUUCUCCAGUGAGUCCAUGCCAGACAAAAAUCAAAGAACAAGUUAGCACUGAACCGGUUACAGAUUAGAAGUCAGGUGACAGCAGGCCCCAUUGUUUCUUCUAGAAUGUCCCCCAAGCUGGUACACUGCUGUGCAUGGGUAAGCACGCCCAUACUUGUUGACAGAAUUAUUUUUAGAAAGUAAUGCUUUCCCAUUUAUAAAACCCAGAGAGAGGCAGCAUGAUGUGUAGGCGGUAUUUCUCAGCCCCGGCUUCCGAUCAAAAUUACCUGUGGAGCUUUUAAAAAUCUGCAGAUGCCAUGACCUCACUCUGCACCAAGGGUUCUCAGCCAGGGCUGCACACAUGAAUCACCUGGGGAGUUUUUGAAAACUAGGACACCUGCCAAGGGGCCCCUCCCCGACUGAUGGCAUCAGAACCUCAGGAGAUUGGACCAAGAGAGAGGCAUUGCUUAAUCAGCACUCCAGGUGAUUCUAAUAUAUAGCCAGGCCUGAGAACCACCGAUGGAGAAGGAUUGAAGUCAUUUAUUCAUUUAACAAAUAAUUGCCAGCUGCUAUGAUAUGCCAGGCCUUGCUGGCAACAUAGCAUUGAAGGAAAUAAACACUCCCUGCUCUCCUGCACUUAGAAAUCUGAGGCAAAAUCCUCAGGAGUGUGGACUAGGCAGCUGCAAUUUCUAAAAGCUUAUCUCCCAAGGUUGAGAAUCAGAGGGUAAAGGGCCGGAUUUGAAUCUUGGUUCUUCUGCUUAUUGGCUGUUUGAUCUGGGAUCCGUCACUACACCAUGGAGAUAGGCAGUCAAAUUAGCAAGAGGAGUCAAAAUGGUCAGAUCGGUUCUCAAAACAAAGGAUGUCAUGGGUAAGCACAACAGGCAACAAUUUCUCCACCAUAAAAGUAGAAUAAAACAUCACAGAAACCACAUGUUAAUAACAACAAAUCAAAAUGCCGAAUAGAAUCGCAAAAUUUGGGAGACUUUAUUGCUAACGUGGUUAUGGAGAAGCUUACCAGGAAAGAAUAUUUCUUCAAUAGCUGAUUAAGAGUAGUUUUUCUUAGUGAACACAGGUACCCAUUGGAAAAAUUAUCAGAAGGUAUAGGUCAUUUGAACAAGAGUAUAAUUAGUCUUGGAGAAACUCAAACUAAGCAAAAUCAAGAUUUUCAUCAAAACAUAAUUUCUUAAAUGUUUUGUAUCCUUUCUUUCACUGAGAAGAUAAAAAUCUCCUUUUGCUCCCUACACCCCCCCCCCCCGCCCCAUGUGUGCGCACGGUUCAACUGAGGCUAGGAGAAAUUCUCAGACCAGGGUGGGCAGUUAUUGUAUAAGACUCCUCGUUCUCUUUUGCCAAGGCUUUUUAAUCCCUAUGUACCAAUCUUCCCUGCUAGUUCAUGAAAAGAGGAUCCCAGCUGUGCCAAAUCGUGUGAUAGCUAUAUAAUCUAGACACAAUCCACAGGGGUUGAGAACAGAAAUUAACAAAUAUAUUUAAGCUUGAAUCUUUAAAGAAUGUCUGCUAGUUUCCCAAACAUUCAUGGACCAGAGAGUCUAUCUUCUUGCUUGAGAAGAACACAAGAAUGAAGAUGACUAUGAGAAAGGUCUUCCAGAAUUGGAUUUUGCUUAUGCCAAAAAUGUCCACCUUCUGUGGGCACUAAAGCAGAACAAACAUUGGACUGAGAAAUAGAUGUCUUGGGUUCCAGUACUGAAUUUGCCACCAACCAGUUGUAUAAUCUCUGCCAAUUUCCUGCAAUUCUUUGGCGGAGAUUCCUGUCUAUAAAAUGAAAAAAAAAAAAAA